GCACAACUGCAGAACCUCCUGUCUGUCCUCAAGUGCUUGCUUGCCCCACUUAUGGAAGCAGAGCUGCUCUCUGGGAAGGAAGGCACCUCUGGAACAUCUCCCGAACUUCACCUUGACAGAUAUUUCCAAAAAAAGAGUCUCAUUUUCAGAAGACAAGAAUGGGACGGACAAGGAAACAGGACAGGACAGUACAGGCGACCCAUUUAGAGCUGAAUGACUAUGUUCAGAGACGGCGCUAAAUGACACCCUCCACCUC
RNAcentral lists this long non-coding RNA (256 nucleotides) under Homo sapiens (human). Its description in RNAcentral is "HSALNT0169371". Lineage: Eukaryota; Metazoa; Chordata; Mammalia; Primates; Hominidae. The record is from RNAcentral.